RNAcentral lists this ribosomal RNA (148 nucleotides) under Calliactis polypus. Its description in RNAcentral is "5.8S ribosomal RNA". It matches the Rfam family "5.8S ribosomal RNA". Rfam says of the family: 5.8S ribosomal RNA (5.8S rRNA) is a component of the large subunit of the eukaryotic ribosome. It is transcribed by RNA polymerase I as part of the 45S precursor that also contains 18S and 28S rRNA. Lineage: Eukaryota; Metazoa; Cnidaria; Anthozoa; Actiniaria; Hormathiidae. The record is from RNAcentral.
AACGGUGGAUCUCUUGGCUCGUGCGUCGAUGGAGAACGCAGCCAGGUGCGAUAAGUAGUGUGAAUUGCAGAACUCAGUGAAUCAUCGAAUCUUUGAACGCAAAUGGCGCUCCUGGGCUUUCCCGGGAGCAUGUCUGUCUGAGUGUCGG